AUUGAACGCUGGCGGCAGGCCUAACACAUGCAAGUCGAGCGAGCGGCGGACGGGGGAGUAAUGUCUGGGAAACUGCCUGAUGGAGGGGGAUAACUACUGGAAACGGUAGCUAAUACCGCAUACCAUCAGAUGUGCCCAUAUGGGAUUAGCUAGUAGGUGGGGUAACGGCUCACCUAGGCGACGAUCCCUAGCUGGUCUGAGAGGGUGACAAGCCACACUGGAACGGAGACACGGUCCGAACUCCUACGGGAGGCAGAAGUGGGGACUAUUGCACAAUGGGCGCAAGCCUGAUGCAGCAAUGCCGCGUGUGUGAAGAAGGCCUUCGUGUUGUAAGGCACUUUCAGCGGGGAGGCGUUACCCGCAGAAGAAGCACCGGCUAACUCCGUGCCAGCCGCCGCGGUAAUUC
This 406-nucleotide ribosomal RNA is filed under the name uncultured bacterium. RNAcentral describes it as "partial 16S ribosomal RNA". It matches the Rfam family "Bacterial small subunit ribosomal RNA", at positions 30 to 526 of the family's 1533-position model. The record is from RNAcentral.